CUCCUCCCGGCCGGAGGCUGGGGCGAGGACGCUGCCCCGCCGCAAGGGGGCGCUGUCGCUCGCAGCCCAGGAAUUGCGGGGCGGGGAAACAGAGGCGCACGAGGAAGAGCAGAAGAGCUGAGAUCACAAUUGACAUAUUUCACCAGAGAGAGAGAGACAUACUAUUCUAGUGAGAAGACCAUGAAAUUGUGAAUAACAUCCUUUUCUCCACUUCUGCAACUUUGGGCUUUGCCCCCACCUCAAGUAAGCCCAUCAAGAACAGUCACACGUGGGAAAAGCCUUGUGGGACCACUGUGACAGCGAGGCAUUGUAUUGGGGAAAUUUGCAGACAGAAUCAUCUUCGAACCAAAGCAACACUGCUACAUCACCUGAUGUGACGAGUGGGCUGCUACCAGCUAACGCCCUGGGUUUUUUUUAAUGAUCCUCUUCCAUCAUCUGGCUUGGGAGACAGCUAUAUGAAGUAGCAAUGGGAGUUGGAGACUGGGAGACAAAAAUUAUGAAUUUCAUCACCAGCCCUUUAAAAUUGUGUGCAUGCCUCCCUCCUGCCCGCAUCUUUAGAAUUUGGACUUAACCAGGGAGAGAAACGCUAUGGUCCUAGGCCUCCCAUGUCACAAAGCUCCCUGAAAUCAGCCAAUGUUUAAGAAGCAGUUGAAGCCCAUAAUGAAAGGGGCAAAGAAGGACCCAGCCUUAUUAUGGCUAGAUGCUGAAGCAACUGAAAAAAAGGGUGUGCCAGGGGUUUGUUUGCUCUUAUAACCAGUCUGCCAGGAUGCUCUGUCUUUGUAGACCAGUUUCAUUUCACUGGGGUUUAAUUUCACUCCCAGGGAAGGAGCAGUUAAAAAGUAUCAUUAUUACUACACUGAA
Tachyglossus aculeatus (Australian echidna) is the source of this 861-nucleotide long non-coding RNA. RefSeq lists it as uncharacterized. NCBI's taxonomy places the organism in Eukaryota, Metazoa, Chordata, Mammalia, Monotremata, Tachyglossidae. The transcript has 3 exons. The record is from RefSeq and is a predicted model, not a curated record.